CCUACGGGAGGCAGCAGUGGGGAAUUUUGGACAAUGGGCGCAAGCCUGAUCCAGCAAUGCCGCGUGAGUGAAGAAGGCCUUCGGGUUGUAAAGCUCUUUUGUCAGGGAAGAAACGGUGGAGGUUAAUACCUUCUGCUAAUGACGGUACCUGAAGAAUAAGCACCGGCUAACUACGUGCCAGCAGCCGCGGUAAUACGUAGGGUGCAAGCGUUAAUCGGAAUUACUGGGCGUAAAGCGUGCGCAGGCGGUUGUGCAAGACAGAUGUGAAAUCCCCGGGCUCAACCUGGGAAUUGCAUUUGUGACUGUACGGCUAGAGUGUGUCAGAGGGGGGUAGAAUUCCACGUGUAGCAGUGAAAUGCGUAGAGAUGUGGAGGAAUACCGAUGGCGAAGGCAGCCCCCUGGGAUAACACUGACGCUCAUGCACGAAAGCGUGGGGAGCAAACAGGAUUAGAUACCCUGGUAGUCCACGCCCUAAACGAUGUCUACUAGUUGUCGGGUCUUUAUUGACUUGGUAACGCAGCUAACGCGUGAAGUAGACCGCCUGGGGAGUACGGUCGCAAGAUUAAAACUCAAAUGAAUUGACGG
This 585-nucleotide ribosomal RNA is filed under the name uncultured bacterium. RNAcentral describes it as "bacterial SSU rRNA". It matches the Rfam family "Bacterial small subunit ribosomal RNA", at positions 338 to 916 of the family's 1533-position model. The record is from RNAcentral.